Molecule: non-coding RNA, 210 nt
Organism: Pelobates cultripes (western spadefoot toad)
Lineage: Eukaryota; Metazoa; Chordata; Amphibia; Anura; Pelobatidae
Source: the annotation of a GenBank genome assembly
CUCAGAUCCAGAUUGGUAUCAUUGUGCUUCUAGCCACCCCCAAGUUUUGGAGGCAUCCUUACCUCUUUAUGUAAAGCCCACAACAGAAAAUUGGGAGAGUGGGUGGGAUGCUUGUCCUGGUAAGCUGAGGGAAAAGGUUUACCCAGCCACAUAUAUAAUUACAGUGCUGCACAAGCUUGAUUAACUCUAGCCAAUCAUAUUAUCAGAUUU